GACGAACGCUGGCGGCGUGCUUAACACAUGCCAGUCGAACGGAAAGGCCCUGCUUUUGUGGGGUGCUCGAGUGGCGAACGGGUGAGUAACACGUGAGUAACCUGCCCUUGACUUUGGGGUAACUUCAGGAAACUGGGGCUAAUACCGGAUAGGAGCUCCUGCUGCAUGGUGGGGGUUGGAAAGUUUCGGCGGUUGGGGAUGGACUCGCGGCUUAUCAGCUUGUUGGUGGGGUAGUGGCUUACCAAGGCUUUGACGGGUAGCCGGCCUGAGAGGGUGACCGGCCACAUUGGGACUGAGAUACGGCCCAGACUCCUACGGGAGGCAGCAGUGGGGAAUAUUGCACAAUGGGCGGAAGCCUGAUGCAGCAACACCGCGUGCGGGAUGACGGCCUUCGGGUUGUAAACCGCUUUCGCCUGUGACGAAGCGUGAGUGACGGUAAUGGGUAAAGAAGCACCGGCUAACUACGUG
This 468-nucleotide ribosomal RNA is filed under the name uncultured bacterium. RNAcentral's name for it is "partial 16S ribosomal RNA". It matches the Rfam family "Bacterial small subunit ribosomal RNA", at positions 28 to 507 of the family's 1533-position model. The record is from RNAcentral.